AGGGGGGAAUAUUGGGUCAAUGGGCGCUAGCCUGAACCAGCCAUGCCGCGUGCAGGAAGACGGCCCUACGGGUUGUAACUGCUUUUCUGCAGGAAGAAUAUUAGUCUUAGGGCUAUAUGACGGUACUGCAGGAAUAAGCAUCGGCUAACUCCGUGCCACACCGCGGUAUAGGAGGAUGAAGCGAUCCGGAUUCAUUGGGUUUAAAGGGUGCGCAGCUGUAAAGCAAGUCAGUGGUGAAAGCCCUGGGCUUAACUCAGGGAUUGCCAUUGAAACUGUUUUACUAGAGUGUAGUAGAGGACGGCGGAAUGAGUUGUGUANCGGUGAAAUGCAUAGAUAUAACUCAGAACACCUAUUGCGUAGGCAGCUGUCUAUACUACAACUGACGCUGAGGCACGAAAGCGUGGGGAGCGAACAGGAUUAGAUACCCUGGUAGUCCACGCUGUAAACGAUGAUCACUCGUUGUUGGCUACUUAGUAGUCAGUGACCAAGGGAAACCGAUAAGUGAUCCACCUGGGGAGUACGUCGGCAACGAUGAAACUCAAAGGAAUUGACGGGGGCCCGCACAAGCGGAGGAACAUGUGGUUUAAUUCGAUGAUACGCGAGGAACCUUACCUGGGCUUAAAUGCUGGCUGCAUUGGAGGGAAACCUUCAUUUCCUACGGGACCGCCAGCAAGGUGCUGCAUGGUUGUCGUCAGCUCGUGCCGUGAGGUGUCGGGUUAAGUCCCAUAACGAGCGCAACCCCUAUCGCUAGUUGCCAGCAUGUAAUGGUGGGGACUCUAGCGAGACUGCCGGUGUAAACCGGAGGAAGGUGGGGAUGACGUCAAAUCAGCACGGCCCUUACGUCCAGGGCUACACACGUGUUACAAUGGCCGGUACAAAGAGCAGCCACCUGGCGACAGGGCGCUAAUCUCUAAAACCGGUCUCAGUUCGGAUCGAAGUCUGCAAUUCGACUUCGUGAAGGUGGAUUCGCUAGUAAUCGCGCAUCAGCCAUGGCGCGGUGAAUAAGUUCCCGGGCCUUGUACACACCGCCCGUCAAGCCAUGGAAGUCGGGGGUACCUGAAGUCCGUAACCGA
Molecule: ribosomal RNA, 1073 nt
Filed under: uncultured organism
Description: bacterial SSU rRNA
Rfam family: Bacterial small subunit ribosomal RNA
Source: RNAcentral